Scophthalmus maximus (turbot) is the source of this 479-nucleotide long non-coding RNA. RefSeq lists it as uncharacterized. Lineage: Eukaryota; Metazoa; Chordata; Actinopteri; Pleuronectiformes; Scophthalmidae. The transcript is spliced from 4 exons. The record is from RefSeq and is a predicted model, not a curated record.
CUUUAUUGUUUCCUUCCUUGGUUCGUUGGUUCCUUCCUUCCUUUCCUUCCUUCAUGUCGCAGUAGUUUCGUUAGGGGACUGUUGGGCCUCGCCGGCGUCUGCGCUCUGCUGAGUGACAUUCUAGUUUUGCUCCGUUCCUACUGGACGUGUGAAACCAGGUUGGGUUUUAAAUCCUCAGUACUAAAGCUUCAAGGUCGUCUUCCUCUCAGACCAGGAGAGAAAUCCCUCCACACUCUCAGUCGGUUACAGUCAGGAGAAAUCUCCCUGAAAACCAGUUAACUGUUGGAGCCGACUACUGACGACCGAUGUUCUCUCCGUUUGCUGUGACGCCUUGCUUUUUUCAAGGAUUCCAGCGACGGUCUUCAGAGGGAAUGUUUCAGCAGAGAGCUGAUGGCGUCUGAUGUCCUGAUCAAAGCGUGCGGAGCUGGUUCUGAGCUCGCCGGGGAUGAAAUCGCGUCAGGGUAGGUCGCUGCCGAAGC